RNAcentral lists this ribosomal RNA (653 nucleotides) under uncultured Cryobacterium sp. Its description in RNAcentral is "bacterial SSU rRNA". It matches the Rfam family "Bacterial small subunit ribosomal RNA", at positions 95 to 749 of the family's 1533-position model. Lineage: Bacteria; Bacillati; Actinomycetota; Actinomycetes; Micrococcales; Microbacteriaceae. The record is from RNAcentral.
GUGGCGAACGGGUGAGUAACACGUGAGCAAUCUGCCCUUGACUCUGGGAUAACUGCGGGAAACUGUAGCUAAUACCGGAUAUUACCUUGGAAGGCAUCUUCUGGGGUGGAAAGAAUUUUGGUCAAGGAUGAGCUCGCGGCCUAUCAGCUAGUUGGUGAGGUAAUGGCUCACCAAGGCGACGACGGGUAGCCGGCCUGAGAGGGUGACCGGCCACACUGGGACUGAGACACGGCCCAGACUCCUACGGGAGGCAGCAGUGGGGAAUAUUGCACAAUGGGCGCAAGCCUGAUGCAGCUACGCCGCGUGAGGGACGACGGCCUUCGGGUUGUAAACCUCUUUUAGUAGGGAAGAAGCGACUGGGUUUUCCUGGGAGUGACGGUACCUGCAGAAAAAGCACCGGCUAACUACGUGCCAGCAGCCGCGGUAAUACGUAGGGUGCAAGCGUUGUCCGGAAUUAUUGGGCGUAAAGAGCUCGUAGGCGGUAUGUCGCGUCUGCUGUGAAAACCCGAGGCUCAACCUCGGGCCUGCAGUGGGUACGGGCAGACUAGAGUGCGGUAGGGGAGAUUGGAAUUCCUGGUGUAGCGGUGGAAUGCGCAGAUAUCAGGAGGAACACCAAUGGCGAAGGCAGAUCUCUGGGCCGUAACUGACGCUGA